Molecule: ribosomal RNA, 1525 nt
Filed under: Sticholonche sp. JB-2011
Lineage: Eukaryota; Sticholonchida; Sticholonchidae
Description: eukaryotic LSU rRNA
Rfam family: Eukaryotic large subunit ribosomal RNA (bases 615-1525)
Source: RNAcentral
GUCGUAACAAGGUUUCCGUAGGUGAACCUGCGGAAGGAUCAUUGACACAAAACAAUCUAAAAAACCAGAGAAACCCAACCCUCUCCUGCCGGCUUGCCGGCAGCGAGGUCCGCGUAGGGCCUCAACAUCCGCCCGGCGUCGGGCGGGGCUUGCCUCGUGCUCGCUCCGCUCGGCGUCGGGCACCACUUUCACGCCCAAACCCAAUCAACCGAACUCCGGCGUUGCGCUUGCGCACGCUAAACACUAAUAUCCACGCCUCUUAACGGUGGAUCUCUUGGUUCCGGCGACGAUGAAGAACGCAGCGAAAUGCGAUACGUAAUGUGAAUUGCAGGAUUAAGUGAAUCAUCAAAUCUUUGAACGCAAAUGGCAGUUGGGUGCUUUCAGCACCGGACUAUGCCUGGUUCAGACCCGCUUACAAACACAUCACACACAUCCAAUGUGUCGCGGACAAUGACGGUGACUCAGCAGGCUGAUCGUCUCCGUUCAAGUGUAAGCCAACCGUUCCGGUUCACCGCCCUCGGGCGGGGAGCUUCUGGGGCGUGACUUAGGUGAUACCAUCUUUGUUCACACUACCUCUGGGAGUUCCUUCUGGGAUUUAGCAUCUCGCUAAAACAAGGGCUGAGCUCAGGUAAGAGGACCCGCUGAAUUUAAACAUAUUAUUAAGCGGAGGAAAAGAAACUAACAAGGAUCCCCUCAGUAACGGCGAGUGAAGCGGGGAUAGCUCAAUCCUAAAAUCCCCGGGUCUAACCUGUGGGAAUUGUGGUCUAGAGGAGCUUGUCCGGCCACGCUCUUGGAGUAACUCGUUGUUGAGACAGCGGGCCAUAGAGGGUAAUAGCCCCGUAUAUGUCCAGGGAAUGCGUACGGCCAUCAGGAACUGCUUCCAGAGAGUCGUGUUGCUCGGGACUGCAGCACAAAACGGGAGGUAAUAUCCUUCUAAAGCUAAAUAUUCGCUGGAGACCGAUAGCGAACAAGUACCGUGAGGGAAAGAUGAAAAGAACUUUGAAAAGAAAGUGAAAAGUACGUGAAACCGUUAAGGGUGAAGCGAGAUGCUCCUACUGUGCCUAUGGUGGUUUCUGCUGGUAUUCAACCGGUAGUUCAACGACCGUUGGCCGCCUUGAUGGCUUCAGCCUGGGUCAGAACAGCCUGCGGGAGGGGAGCACUCCUCUUGUGGAGUGUGAAUGCCGCGGCCUACGGCCUGGGUUGGAGUGAGGAAACGGUGCGAACCUGCGGCCGGUUCCGCUGCGUGGCUGGUGGGGGUUGAUCGCCUGCGAUGUUCCUCUGCCGAAGCGUAGCGUGCCUGUUGCUUCACGUGCCCAAGAUCAAGGUAAUGGAGUGUCCCGACCCGUCUUGAAACACGGACCAAGGAGUCUAACAUGUGUGCGAGUAUUAGGGUGGCAAACCCCGAUGCGCAGAGAAAUCAAGAGGACCCAACCGUAAGGUGCCGGUCCGGCUGCACUUGAUCUUUUGUGAAAAGUCUAGCAAGAGCAUAUAUGCUGGGACCCGAAAGAUGGUGAACUAUGCGUGA